Molecule: small nucleolar RNA, 157 nt
Organism: Magnolia sinica
Lineage: Eukaryota; Viridiplantae; Streptophyta; Magnoliopsida; Magnoliales; Magnoliaceae
Product: small nucleolar RNA snoR2/U65
Exons: 1
Source: RefSeq, a predicted model, not a curated record
UGCAUGAGGCGACAUCUCUGGUAGCAGAGAGAAUGGAUCGCAUUAACUGGAAAUGCUACAAUCGGGUGCAUAUCAAAUGCUCCUGUUGUUUCGCAUGUUGCUAGGAACCUGUGGGUUUCUAGUUAUAUCAACGGGGCCGGUUUCUGUGAUUACAUCC